RNAcentral lists this long non-coding RNA (892 nucleotides) under Struthio camelus australis. RNAcentral describes it as "lncRNA (ENSSCUG00000017053.1)". The record is from RNAcentral. Lineage: Eukaryota; Metazoa; Chordata; Aves; Struthioniformes; Struthionidae.
AAAAAAAAAAAGGAGAGAGAUGAUUUUCAUCUUAAAUUCUGCUGAGAAUGUGAAAAAUCUGAAGGAGACUGCAACUGUGUUAAGCUUGUUGCUGAAGGUGACCCAACAACCACCUUUAGGAUUCUGGAUUUGUUGCAGUUGCUCAUAAGGUCUUUGAACUACCCUUUCUUUUGGCUCCUAUUCUUUGAACCAGCAGGAGAUUGCAAAGGACAAGACUACAACUUACUGAUGUGUUCAGAGGGCUGCAAUCUUGUGAAUUCUGUUUCCCGCUGGCAUGAAGAAUGGGACAGAAGAGAAGAGCAGAGUAGCAGUACAACAUGCCAUGACAGUAUCAAACCUCUGUGCCCUGGAUGGUUUGUUUGAUCACCUUUUUAAGGAGCUGCAAUUUUAAUGUUAUUGUGACCCUUUUUCUAGUGAUAUGACUUUCAGGAGGACGAUUUUGACCACUGGAUAAUACUGCAGGUCUUGAAACAAACUUCUGCAGAAGAGAUUGAGCCUGAAUCCUCAAAUGUGCUGCGUGCUCGUUUAUGCUAGCCUUUCACCAACCAAUGAUGGAAGGAAAACAACACUGGAAGAAGUUGUCCAUUCAGUUGGCUAUCGGAGUAGCCACAUGCAGAUGCUGGGCCACUGUGGCAUAGACUGGAGAAUGCCUCGAAGGAUCAAGACCAAAAGUCUCCAACUUGCUAUAGCAUGUGAGAAAAAGCUGUCUGUGUUGCAAUACUCAACGCCUCUACAGUUCAGAAACAUACGCAAAGCCACGAUGAACCUCCUGAGCACUGGGACAAUGCAAUGGCAUCAGAUAAGACAAGAGUCUCCAGGAGAAACUGAAAAGAUAACCAUACUUCAAAUGUGCUUUCCUAUGUGUUGGGGACAGAAGGUCUCUCAUCCGUGA